GUUGGUGAACCAGCGGAGGGAUCAUUACUGAGUGCAAACUCUCCAACCAUUGUUUAUCUACCUAUUUUUGCUUCUCCGGCAGGCGGUUCCAGGGAGGGACCGAGCCUAUGGCCUAGCCUAAGCACCUGCCGAAGGGGUACCUACUGCUCUAUAUUAUACUGUCUGAGAAAACAAAAAAAAUUAUCAAAAUUUUCAAUUGUGGAUCUCUUGGUUCUG
RNAcentral lists this unclassified non-coding RNA (216 nucleotides) under rhizosphere metagenome. Its description in RNAcentral is "partial ribosomal RNA internal transcribed spacer region". The record is from RNAcentral.